CUAAGAAUAUUCCGCAAUGGGCGAAAGCCUGACGGAGCGACGCCGCGUGGAUGACGAAGGCCGAAAGGUUGUAAAAUCCUUUUGCGGGCGAAGAAUAAGCGGGGCAGGGAAUGGCUCCGCGAUGACGUUAGCCUGCGAAGAAGCCCCGGCUAAUUACGUGCCAGCAGCCGCGGUAACACGUAAGGGGCGAGCGUUGUUCGGAAUUAUUGGGCGUAAAGGGCGCGUAGGCGGUUAUGUAAGUCUGGCGUGAAAGGCGGGAGCUUAACUCCCGGACUGCGUUAGAAACUGUAUAACUUGAGUCACGGAGGGGGAACCGGAAUUCCUGGUGUAGGGGUGAAAUCUGUAGAUAUCAGGAAGAACACCGGUGGCGAAGGCGGGUUUCCAGCCGAUGACUGACGCUGAGGCGCGAAAGUGCGGGGAGCAAACAGGAUUAGAUACCCUGGUAGUCCGCACUAUAAACGAUGUGCACUAGGUGUUGGGGCGAGCGUCUCAGUGCCGGAGCGAACGUGAUAAGUGCACCGCCU
Molecule: ribosomal RNA, 524 nt
Filed under: uncultured bacterium
Lineage: Bacteria
Description: bacterial SSU rRNA
Rfam family: Bacterial small subunit ribosomal RNA
Source: RNAcentral